UCCGUAGGGUGAACCUGCGGAGGGAUCAUUACUGAGUUUACGCUCUACAACCCUUUGUGAACAUACCUAUAACUGUUGCUUCGGCGGGUAGGGUCUCCGUGACCCUCCCGGCCUCCCGCCCCCGGGCGGGUCGGCGCCCGCCGGAGGAUAACCAAACUCUGAUUUAACGACGUUUCUUCUGAGUGGUACAAGCAAAUAAUCAAAACUUUUAACAACGGAUCUCUUGGUUCUGGCAUCGAUGAAGAACGCAGCGAAAUGCGAUAAGUAAUGUGAAUUGCAGAAUUCAGUGAAUCAUCGAAUCUUUGAACGCACAUUGCGCCCGCCAGCAUUCUGGCGGGCAUGCCUGUUCGAGCGUCAUUUCAACCCUCAAGCUCUGCUUGGUGUUGGGGCCCUACAGCUGAUGUAGGCCCUCAAAGGUAGUGGCGGACCCUCCCGGAGCCUCCUUUGCGUAGUAACUUUACGUCUCGCACUGGGAUCCGGAGGGACUCUUGCCGUAAAACCCCCCAAUUUUCCAAAGGUUGACCUCGGAUCAGGUAGGAAUACCCGCUGAACUUAAGCAUAUCAAUAA
Molecule: ribosomal RNA, 568 nt
Filed under: Colletotrichum gloeosporioides
Lineage: Eukaryota; Fungi; Ascomycota; Sordariomycetes; Glomerellales; Glomerellaceae
Description: eukaryotic LSU rRNA
Rfam family: 5.8S ribosomal RNA (bases 204-357)
Source: RNAcentral